Long non-coding RNA from Oncorhynchus tshawytscha (Chinook salmon), 1200 nucleotides. NCBI's taxonomy places the organism in Eukaryota, Metazoa, Chordata, Actinopteri, Salmoniformes, Salmonidae. The record is from Ensembl.
GGUAACUAAGGCUGGGAAUGUCAAACCACCGCGAUGCGCUGCACUACAAGUCACAAGCGAGCAUAAAUGAGUCAACAGUUGAGUCAUCUACUUUAUGAAAUUACAGCCUGAUGCGCGCACGUCGGUGAAUUCAAUUUCAGUUGCUCUGCUUUCUUGUGUCCCGUUUACAGCGCACAGCGACAGAGUUAUGUAUUUGGUAUCGAUCAAAUGGGCAGGCAGGAAGGCAAGUUCACAUUCAGUUGUCAAGACGUGGGUUUGGACAAACAUGCAUUGUCAGAUCCUGAGGACAAACAUCCUUCUGCAUCAAGACAGACUAUAUCCCACUACCUAAACUUGCGGUCAGCCUACAGCUAAUUCAUCCCUGCAACAGACUGAGCUGACCACCAUGCACUCUGAGGAUGGAUCUACGGUCGACGACAUCUUCUACUCCAAGGCUGGGCAAUUCUGGUGGAGGUCAACGGCAGAGCGGAGGUUUGAAGCUGCUUGGUCGUCUCUCCCCCCAAUUAGAGGAGGAUCUCUGGUCAAUGAAAGGUUUACCCAAUUAAUUGUUCCCUUCGGACCAUCUCAGUCUCCUGGCCAGGUUCCAGCUGGACUGAAACCCUGUGUAAUUUGGGCUGUUUGUGAUCAAUUAAUAAUCAGGAGGACCGAGGUCAAGUAUUUAAAAAUGUUUGUUCAAACUGUACAUGAUUUUCCCAUGGUGUGAUUCCAUGUUUUAUAAGUUCAUAAUUGUACUUAAUUGGUUCCUUGGGCUCACAUGGUUGUUUCCUACCUGAAGAGAAACUACUCAUCCCAAGGUCCAGAGGGGAUGGGAUGUCCUCUGAAGAAUUGUUUUUGUUUACAUGAAGAGAGAGCAAAACAAACCAAAAAGGUUGAAUUUAGUUCAAAGUUGGAAUUUAUUUGACAAAUUCUCUUACUGUUGAGAUUUGAAUGCAUGAAGCUUUUAGAUUUUAAAAGUUAAUAUUUUGUGAACAAACUGAGUAAACAAUCUGCUACACUAGUAAAUUAGAACAUUUAAAUCUUUACAAACUGUGUUUGAUGCGUUUUGUCCCUCUGGCUUUGGGCCAGUCGUAGUAUUAUUUUUCAAAUGAUAGAAAUAUUGAAUUCAUAUUUUCCAUAUACCAAUAUCAGUUUGGCAGUAUUUUGGGAAGAUCUACAUCCUGUCUUGCCUGGCUGAGAUGGUGUUAAUCCGUGACAAGGACU